GAUGAACGCUGGCGGCGUGCCUAAUACAUGCAAGUCGAGCGAACAGACGAGGAGCUUGCUCCUCUGACGUUAGCGGCGGACGGGUGAGUAACACGUGGAUAACCUACCUAUAAGACUGGGAUAACUUCGGGAAACCGGAGCUAAUACCGGAUAAUAUAUUGAACCGCAUGGUUCAAUAGUGAAAGACGGUUUUGCUGUCACUUAUAGAUGGAUCCGCGCCGCAUUAGCUAGUUGGUAAGGUAACGGCUUACCAAGGCAACGAUUCGUAGCCGACCUGAGAGGGUGAUCGGCCACACUGGAACUGAGACACGGUCCAGACUCCUACGGGAGGCAGCAGUAGGGAAUCUUCCGCAAUGGGCGAAAGCCUGACGGAGCAACGCCGCGUGAGUGAUGAAGGUCUUCGGAUCGUAAAACUCUGUUAUUAGGGAAGAACAAAUGUGUAAGUAAAUAUGCACGUCUUGACGGUACCUAAUCAGAAAGCAACGGCUAACUACGUG
Molecule: ribosomal RNA, 497 nt
Filed under: uncultured bacterium
Lineage: Bacteria
Description: partial 16S ribosomal RNA
Rfam family: Bacterial small subunit ribosomal RNA
Source: RNAcentral